RNAcentral lists this ribosomal RNA (270 nucleotides) under uncultured archaeon. Its description in RNAcentral is "partial 16S ribosomal RNA". It matches the Rfam family "Archaeal small subunit ribosomal RNA", at positions 477 to 747 of the family's 1478-position model. The record is from RNAcentral.
CUGCAGCCCGAGUGGUGAUCGAUUUUAUUGAGCCUAAAGCGUCCGUAGCCGGACUAGUAAACCCUUGGGUAAAUCGGGCAGCUUAACUGUCCGACUUCCGAGGAGACUGCCAGACUUGGGACCGGGAGAGGUCAGAGGUACUCCAGGGGUAGGGGCUAAAUCCUGUAAUCCUUGGGGGACCACCAGUGGCGAAGGCGUCUGACUAGAACGGAUCCGACGGUAAGGGACGAAACCCUGGGGCGCAAACCGGAUUAGAUACCCGAGUAGUCC